AGUGCCCCAAAAUCCCCCCU
Molecule: transfer RNA, 20 nt
Filed under: Cynoscion arenarius (sand weakfish)
Lineage: Eukaryota; Metazoa; Chordata; Actinopteri; Sciaenidae
Description: partial tRNA-Ser
Source: RNAcentral